AGAGCGAACGCUGGCGGCAGGCCUAACACAUGCAAGUCGAGCGGCCGUAGCAAUACGGCAGCGGCAGACGGGAUAGUAACACGUGGGAACGCGCCCUUCGGUUCGGAAUAACUCAGGGAAACUUGAGCUAAUACCGGAUACGCCCUUACGGGGAAAGAUUUAUUGCCGAAGGAACGGCCCGCGUCCGAUUAGCUAGUUGGUGAGGUAAUGGCUCACCAAGGCUACGAUCGGUAGCUGGGUCUGAGAGGAUGACCAGCAUCACUGGGACUGAGACACGGCCCAGACUCCUACGGGAGGCAGCAGUGGGGAAUAUUGGACAAUGGGCGCAAGCCUGAUCCAGCCAUGCCGCGUGGAUGAUGACGGCCUUAGGGUUGUAAAAGUCCUUUUAAACGGGGAAGAUAAAUGACGGUACCCGUAGAAUAAGCCCGGCUAAACUUCGCGCCAGCAGCCGC
RNAcentral lists this ribosomal RNA (452 nucleotides) under uncultured bacterium. Its description in RNAcentral is "SSU rRNA". It matches the Rfam family "Bacterial small subunit ribosomal RNA", at positions 26 to 518 of the family's 1533-position model. The record is from RNAcentral.